Molecule: transfer RNA, 93 nt
Filed under: Annulohypoxylon bovei var. microspora
Lineage: Eukaryota; Fungi; Ascomycota; Sordariomycetes; Xylariales; Hypoxylaceae
Description: tRNA-Glu
Rfam family: tRNA
About the family: Transfer RNA (tRNA) molecules are approximately 80 nucleotides in length. Their secondary structure includes four short double-helical elements and three loops (D, anti-codon, and T loops). Further hydrogen bonds mediate the characteristic L-shaped molecular structure. tRNAs have two regions of fundamental functional importance: the anti-codon, which is responsible for specific mRNA codon recognition, and the 3' end, to which the tRNAs corresponding amino acid is attached (by aminoacyl-tRNA synthetases). tRNAs cope with the degeneracy of the genetic code in two manners: having more than one tRNA (with a specific anti-codon) for a particular amino acid; and 'wobble' base-pairing, i.e. permitting non-standard base-pairing at the 3rd anti-codon position.
Source: RNAcentral
UCCGAAUUGGUGUAGUGGCUAACAUUUGACGCUCUCAUUAUCUAAACAAUCUAAUGAUCCGUCAAGCCCGGGGUUCGAUUCCCCGAUUCGGAG